UAGCAUAUCCAUAAGCGGAGGAAAAGAAACCCAACAGGGAUUGCUUUAGUAACGGCGAGUGAAGCGGCAACAGCUCAAAUUUGAAAUCUGGCUCUUUCAGAGUCCGAGUUGUAAUUUGCAGAGGGCGCUUUGGCUUUGGCAGCGGUCCAAGUUCCUUGGAACAGGACGUCACAGAGGGUGAGAAUCCCGUACGUGGUCGCUAGCUAUUGCCGUGUAAAGCCCCUUCGACGAGUCGAGUUGUUUGGGAAUGCAGCUCUAAAUGGGAGGUAAAUUUCUUCUAAAGCUAAAUAUUGGCCAGAGACCGAUAGCGCACAAGUAGAGUGAUCGAAAGAUGAAAAGCACUUUGGAAAGAGAGUCAAACAGCACGUGAAAUUGUUGAAAGGGAAGCGCUUGCAGCCAGACUUGCUUGCAGUUGCUCAUCCGGGCUUUUGCCCGGUGCACUCUUCUGCAGGCAGGCCAGCAUCAGUUUGGGCGGUGGGAUAAAGGUCUCUGACACGUUCCUUCCUUCGGGUUGGCCAUAUAGGGGAGACGUCAUACCACCAGCCUGGACUGAGGUCCGCGCAUCUGCUAGGAUGCUGGCGUAAUGGCUGUAAGCGGCCCGUCUUGAAACACGGACCAAGGAGUCUAACAUCUAUGCGAGUGUUUGGGUGUCAAGCCCGAGCGCGUAAUGAAAGUGAACGGAGGUGGGAACCCGCAAGGGCGCACCAUCGACCGAUCCUGAAGUUUACGGAAGGAUUUGAGUAAGAGCAUGGCUGUUGGGACCCGAAAGAUGGUGAACUAUGCUUGAAUAGGGUGAAGCCAGAGGAAACUCUGGUGGAGGCUCGCAGCGGUUCUGACGUGCAAAUCGAUCGUCAAAUUUGGGCAUAGGGGCGAAAGACUAAUCGAACUAUCUAGUAGCUGG
Molecule: ribosomal RNA, 901 nt
Filed under: Curvularia verruciformis
Lineage: Eukaryota; Fungi; Ascomycota; Dothideomycetes; Pleosporales; Pleosporaceae
Description: eukaryotic LSU rRNA
Rfam family: Eukaryotic large subunit ribosomal RNA
Source: RNAcentral